This 508-nucleotide ribosomal RNA is filed under the name uncultured bacterium. RNAcentral describes it as "partial 16S ribosomal RNA". It matches the Rfam family "Bacterial small subunit ribosomal RNA", at positions 28 to 507 of the family's 1533-position model. The record is from RNAcentral.
GACGAACGCUGGCGGCGUGCCUAAUACAUGCAAGUCGAACGCUUCUUUCCUCCCGAGUGCUUGCACUCAAUUGGAAAGAGGAGUGGCGGACGGGUGAGUAACACGUGGGUAACCUACCCACCAGAGGGGGAUAACACUUGGAAACAGGUGCUAAUACCGCAUAACAGUUUAUGCCGCAUGGCAUAAGAGUGAAAGGCGCUUUCGGGUGUCGCUGAUGGAUGGACCCGCGGUGCAUUAGCCAGUUGGUGAGGUAACGGCUCACCAAGGCCACGAUGCAUAGCCGACCUGAGAGGGUGAUCGGCCACACUGGGACUGAGACACGGCCCAGACUCCUACGGGAGGCAGCAGUAGGGAAUCUUCGGCAAUGGACGAAAGUCUGACCGAGCAACGCCGCGUGAGUGAAGAAGGUUUUCGGAUCGUAAAACUCUGUUGUUAGAGAAGAACAAGGACGUUAGUAACUGAACGUCCCCUGACGGUAUCUAACCAGAAAGCCACGGCUAACUACGUG